RNAcentral lists this long non-coding RNA (6606 nucleotides) under Homo sapiens (human). RNAcentral describes it as "HSALNT0147923". Lineage: Eukaryota; Metazoa; Chordata; Mammalia; Primates; Hominidae. The record is from RNAcentral.
AAAAAGCUGUAGGGAGCAAAACCCUUGUGCAGGGCUGGUCCCUGGUUUGUGACCUAAGCAGCCAUGGUGCUCCCUUCUUAGGAGGGCUUUGUGCCUGGCGUAAUGCUCUGCUACCUCCAUCUUGAAAUUUUUAAUAGUAUUUGAACAAAAGUACACAUUUUUCAUUUUGCACUGGGCCUCUAAAACUAUGUAGCUGGUCCUCCACUUAUGCUAUGUUUAUAUAGUUGCAUUUUCGUUGGAGCUUGGGAUGACCUUGGUGAGACUGGAGGGGUCUUCACAUGUAGCCUGAGAUGCCUCACUCUUACUACACAAGUAUUUGUUCUUCUGCUUGAAAGCCUCAUCUGGUUGUGUACCUAGUCAAAUCCCCAUGAUAUCUCAGUAGAAGAAAGAAGGAGGAUCUUAAAACUUCAGGGAAGAAAUAAUUUCUUCAACGAAGACGAUAUAAGGUUGACACCAGAACUCUCAUGAGAAAACUGUAAACCAGAAGACAAUAACUUAACAACUUAUCCGUAAUUAUUUCUAAUCUAGAUUUCUAUACUCAGAAACUUUGUAAAGCUGUCUUUAGCUAAAUGAGAUAAAGAACUUGUAUCUCCGUCAAUCUAUUAUCUUAGGAAGUUACUUGAAGAAGUUUUCCAUCAAACUGAAAUAGAAAACCAAGAGAACAGAAGACAUGGGCUCCAGAAAACAGUAGCUCCAAUGUGAAAGAUCAAUACAGUUCACUAUCAGGAUGCAAUCAGCUCAUCCAGCCAAAAAAUCAAACAGACCAUAUUUAGUGCAGGAAAUUCAGAAACACCUGGAGGGGAAUUUCAAGAAAAAACAAAGGAAAGCAUGUAAUGAAUUGGAUUGGAUAAUAUAUGGAGAUGUUGGAAAUAAUAAUAUAUUAAAGGCUAUAAAUACAAGAAAAUCAAUUAAACAAUGAUAAUGGAAUCAUGAGGUGGAAAAGGAAAGGCUGCAAUACCUGAACUUAAAAGUAGCAAUUUAAUAUGAAGCAAAGGGAAGAUUACAUGGUAGUGAGCAACUAAUGUAGUGUAACUAGAGAAUCUAUUUGACCUGGGUAUCAGAAACAUUUCCCUUAAGGGGCUAAAGAGUAUUAACUCUACAAAGUGCACAUGACCCUAAAACACUAAGUAAUCUGUCAUUGAAAAAUAAAGUGUACAUUUAUUUGUAUUCACUUUAGAGUUAACCAGUGACUAAAGCAUAGGAACAUUGGUUGGGGCCAAAAGGGAAAAGUGUGAAUUCUGACAGCUUUAAUCAUAAUUUUAAAAAUGAUUCAAUAACUAAUAGAAAGUAGAAUAUAAAAGGCUGAGUGUGAUAAAGAAGGUGAGUGCAAGGGUAGUGGAAGUUAUAUUUCUGUUACAAAAUGGGAAAUUAGACAUAUUUUCAGACAGUCAAAUUAUUAAAAAUACAAAGCAAUCCAACAGUAAAACAGAAAUUCAAAUUCAGAGGAGAAAAGAUAGGUGUAGUUAGCUUCAGUAAUGUAAAUCCUCAUCUUUCAUAUUGAGAAUUAAACAGCAAUGGUCUUAAGUUGGUCAUUAAAAUGGUGUUGUAAACCUACUGUGUAGCAUUAUGGAGAUAUUCCCGUAAAUAAUAAAAUACAAAUUUGAGAAAUAUUAUUACAUUUACAAAGGUGUUAUACUAUUCUAAUAUGUACAAGAGUAAAAAUAAGAUUGGCAGCUGCGGGGAGAUGCGUGCAAAAGAGCAUCAGUGAGAGGGCCAUAUAUACACAGGGCAGAAGAGAACUAAUUAUGCCAAAGAAAUGUUCUUCCCUAUGGACUUGACACAAUAAUGGAGCCUCUGAUUUCUUUCAAAAAGUAACAAGCUGAAGAGGUUUAGUAGAAGCCAUUUUUAUUAGAAGGCUUGAAGGAAUUACAGUGUUUUGGACAAGGAACACAAAGAAAAUUGAAACUAAGUUUUGUAUAUUUCAAUUUAAAGUCUGCUUUAACAGGUAAAGUAGGGUAAAGUAGUGGAAAUUUGAUAAUACGCAAAAAUGUUUCUAUAUUUUGCAGAAAGAAACCUGGAGAAAUUGUAAUAGGAUGUAAAAGUAUGUAUAUAAUUUAGAAUUAACAGGAAAAAAAAAACUCAGUGCCUUAAAGAAGGAGCUGAUUUCAUUUACAUCACAUAGGAUAAACUAAUAGAAUUUUAAUAUUAAUACCUUCAGUACAGUGAAUUAAUCUCAGGAUAACCGUUUAAAUGUUUAGCUAGUUCAUUUUAAAAUAGAAGGUGUAGUACUUUACUUACUGUAUAGCCUAGAGAUUGCACAUAGAGAUGAAGGAUUAUGAUAUUAAAUCUAGAAACACAUGUCUUUAUGUUUGGGGGCAACCUAAGUGUAUAUGUAUAAGGUGACAAUGUGUGUAUGAUUAUGACUAUUUAUUAACCAUCACUAUGAAAAUGUAAAAUGUAGUGAAAGUAUUUGUAUAACUUAACUGAACCACUAUGAGUUUUUUGUUUUAUUUUGUUUUUUCAAGACAUGCUCUUCCUGUGUCAUCCAGGCUGGAGUGCAGCGGUGCAAUCACGGCUCACUGCAGCCUUGAACUCCCAGGUUCAAGUGAUCCUCCCACCUUAGCCUCCUGUGUAGCUAGGACUACAGGCAUGCAUCACCAUGCCCCAUGCCACCACGGUUACCACACCUUGCUAAUUUUUGUAUUUUUUGUAGAGACGGGAUUUUGUUAGGCACACCCAGGCUGAUCUGGAACUCUUGGGCUGAAGCCCACAUCCUCUUAUAGUGCUGGGAUUACAGGUGUGACCCACUGUUCCUGACCACCUCUAUGAAUUCCUAAAUAUACUAUAUGAAUUACGCUAUUUUCCUUUGUCUGUAUUCACAAGUGACAUUCACCUGAUGAUUUACAUAUUUUAUUUUGCGUAUAUUUUCUUUUCUUUGUUCACAAAGAAUAUAGAAAUGACAAUACGUGUUAAGUAGGUCCCAUUUCUUCAUUCCAUUGUGUUUGAUGUUUUAGUAUCAUUGGUAACAUUGUUUUUUUGUCAGAACAUUCUUGACUAUACAAGAGUCGAUCAUUUAAAGCUACUUUCAUUAUAAUCUUCUAAAGUACUCUUAGGAGAUAAUCAGGAAAAAACAUACAGAUAAAUAUAUAGAUAUGUUGCGGGAAAUCAGGGAUUCUGAACAGAGGGACCUGCUGAAGCUGUGACAGAAUAACAUAAAUUGUGAAGAUUUCAUGGACAUUUAUUCAUUCCCCAAAUUAAUACUUUUAUAAUUUCUUAUACCUGUCUUUACUACAAUCUCUGAACAUAAAUUGUGAAGAUUCCAUGGACAUUUAUCACUUCCCCAAUCAAUACUCUUGUGAUUUCCUAUGUCUGUCUUUAAUCUAUUAAUCCCAUCAUCUUCAUAAGCUGAGGAUGUAUGUCGCCUCAGGACCCUGUGAUGAUUGUGUUAACUGCACAAAUUGUUCAUAAAGCAUGUGUGUUUAAACAAUAUGAAAUCUGGGCACCUUGAAAAAAGAACAGGAUAACAGCGAUGUUCAGGGAAAAAGGGAGAUAACCAUUGGGCCUGACUGCCUGAGGUGCCAGGUGGAACAGAGUCAUAUUUCUCUUCUUACAAAAGCGAAUAGGAGAAAUAUCGCUGAAUUCUUUUUCUCAGCAAGGAACAGCCCUGAGAAAGAAUGCAUUCCCAGAGGGAGGUCUCUAAAAUGGCCACUCUAGGAAUGUCUGUCUUAUACGGUUGUAAACAAGGGAUGAAACAAGCCCCAGUCUACCGUAGGGCCCCCAGGCCUAUAGGAUCAGGAAAUUCCUGCCUAGUAAAUUUUAGUCAGACCGGUUGUCUGCUCUCAAACCCUGUCACCUGAUAAGAUGUUAUCAAUGACAAUGCGUGCCCAGUGGGACAUGAAAGUUAAUUAGCAAUUUUAAUUUCAUCCUGGUCCCAUGAUCUCGCUCUGCCCCCAUUUGCCUUGUGAUAUUUUAUUGCCUUGUGAAGCAUACAACCUCUGUGACCCACACCCUAUUCAUACACUCCCUCCUUUUCAAAUCCAUAAUAAAAACUUGCUGGUUUUGUGGCUUGGGGGCAUCACGGAACCUGCUGACAUAUGAUGUCUCCCUUGGACACCCAGCUUUAAAAUUUCUCUGUUUUGUAUUCUUUCCCUUUAUUUCUCAGACCAACCGACACUCAGGGAAAAUAGAAAAGAACCCACGUUGAAAUAUCGGGGGCUGGUUCCCCCGAUAUAGAUAUAUUUUUAAAAUCGAAGAGACAUUAUAAUGUUAUUUUAUUGUAUCUCUUAUUGAAUGGGACUUUCCUUUCUUUCUUUCUUUCUUUCUCCCUCUCUCUGUCUCUACUUCUUCCUUCCUUCCUAGCUUCUUUCCUUCCUUGCUUCCUUUCUUUGUUUUCUUCCUUCUUUGGAUAUUGCUGUGAACACAGCGUAUAGACAAAGUAAAAUCCUCUCUGCUAAAAUCAUGUGUUUAUGCACAUAAUAGGCUAACACUAUGGAUAUGCAAUCUACCAUUUGAAAAUAGUUCAUUCCAGACUAAUCUCACUUUAUUCACGAUUGUUAUAUCUUGACAUAUGUCCCCCCAAAACUUCAUAUGUUGAAUUGUAUUCCAAAACGUCAGACUUUGACUGUCUUUGGACAUAGGACCUUUAAAGAGGUCAUUAAUUUAAAAUGUCUUUAGAAUAGACCCUAAUCCAGUAUGAUUUAUCAGAAAAGGCAAUUAGGAUACACAGUGGGUCAACCUAUGUGAGGACACAACUAGAAGGAGGCCAUCCUCAAGCCAAGGAAAGGGGCCACAGAAGAACUUAGCUUGCCAAUGCCAACACCUUGAUCUUAAACUUCCAGGCUUCCGUAAUUGUGAGGAAGUAUUUUUACGUUGUUUAAACUACCCAGUCUGUGUUAUUUUGUUACAGCAGACCUAGUAAACUAAAACAACAACUUAGAUGCUUGUGCGUUUAAAGGUUGUAACUUUAACAUGCUUUCUUUUUGUUCAUUCACUCUCAUGUAUGUGUCUGCAUUCUCUUAGGUUAACUUUUUCACAUGUAUGACUUUGAGUACAAUCUUAUUGCUGCUGAUGCCGACCAAACCUUAGCCUCUAAUAAUUUAGACUCAUAUAAAACUGAUUAAUGGAUAUAUAAUUUAUUGUUGCAUGGGUUUCACAAACUCAGGAUGUCCCAAAUGAAUUCUUCAUUUUUUCUACAAUUCUGUUCAUGUGCUCGCAUACUUUCUACAGCAGUAAGUGGUGGGAUAUUCUAGUAAGUAGACCAAAUAUGGGAAUCUAUAAUUUCUGUGGCAAGUGCAUAGUCUAUUAAUUACUAUAAUGUGAUCUUGUCCAGUUGCACAAGUCCCCCAAUUAUAAUUGUCUCCCAUUAUUUUAUAUUUAGUCUUGAAAUUUCACUUAUAAAUAAAAGAAUUAGUUUUUCAAAUUUAAUAUAAACAAGAAACCAAUACCAAACUAAACAAGCACAAAACAAAUAAAAACGAUUAUAAUAUUUAUUAGGAUUGCCUGGAAUGUAAACAUAAAUAUGAGUAUAGUUAAUAUCUAAAUGAUAUUGAGACUUCAUAGUAGCCAUGAAAUUUUUAUAUAUUUUAAAUUAUUCAGGUGUUAUUUUCUUUCAGUAUAGUUUUAUAAUUCUCUGGAUACCUUUCUUAAAUUUAUUAUUGAAUUUAUGCCUAUGCAUUUUAUAUUUUUAUUAAAAUUAUAAGUGACAUCCUCUAUUAAAGAAUAUUUUCUAAAUGACUAUUGCUGGUUUAUAUAAAUGUAAUUUAUUUUUGCAUUUAAUUUAUAUUUAAUGUAGGUAUUUUGAGUUUUCUUUGUAGGAGAUAAUAUAAACUGCCAAUAUUCAUGCUUUUUCUUAUUAAACACUUUAUACCCAUUAUUGAUUUUUCAUUAUGUACUCCACAAUAUCUUUUAUUACAAAGUUGUUGUUAUCUUUUCUAUUGUUCAGGUUUUAAUGAAAUUCUUAGUAUUUUACUGUGAUGUUUACUGAAGGUUUUUGUAAAUACCCUUCAUUACGUUAAGUAAGUUUUCUUCUUUGAUAUGUGGUAAGAAUUUUUAUUAUGAAAGCAUUUUAAUUUGUUCAAAGCUAUUUUCUGCUUCUAUCAACAUGACAUUAUGCUAUUACUUUUCCUUAAUUAUUAACAUGGUGAAUAUAUUUUAUUAAUUCUGUAAUAUCAAACUUUACAUCCUUAUAAGUAAUGUAAAACAGGAUGUUUGAUUUAUUGAUAUUAGGUUAACUGCUUUUUUUUAACCUGAUAAUUUAAGUACUUUUAAAAUCAUUUGUUAAACCUCAAGAGAAAUGUAUCAAGAUUUCAUUGUUCUCAUAGUUAUUUAAAGAUUAGUAGCCCUCUUAAGUUCUCUGGAAAAUUACUAUACAAUUCUAGUAUAUAUUUUUAAAACUGCUUCUCAUCUUGAAGCAAUAAAGCAUUUGAGAAAAACACUAGAAUCAAGUUCUAUCAUCUCCAAUUAGAAUCUUUGUAGUUUUAGGAACAAUUUUUCUGCCUCAGUUUUCUCAUCUACAAAAUAAGGAUAAAAUAUUACUUAUAUACAUUGUUGUUUUGAGAAUAAAAUAAUGUACUAUAAUAGUGUAUUUUAUAACUGUACAUAAAUAAAUGAAAUGCUAUUGUUACAUAUAAUUACUAUCUUGUGUAAUUAAGUUCUGGUGUAUUUCAG